GUCAUUAUCAGUAACUUCCAGAUAAAAUUGAAGCAUACAAAGAAGAUAAGCAUAACCCUUAUGCAAAGAUGACACGUACAAAUUGAGAGAGAUUGUUAGUAAUU
Prosopis cineraria is the source of this 104-nucleotide small nuclear RNA. NCBI's taxonomy places the organism in Eukaryota, Viridiplantae, Streptophyta, Magnoliopsida, Fabales, Fabaceae. The record is from RefSeq and is a predicted model, not a curated record.